This 72-nucleotide transfer RNA is filed under the name Camelus bactrianus (Bactrian camel). It matches the Rfam family "tRNA". Rfam says of the family: Transfer RNA (tRNA) molecules are approximately 80 nucleotides in length. Their secondary structure includes four short double-helical elements and three loops (D, anti-codon, and T loops). Further hydrogen bonds mediate the characteristic L-shaped molecular structure. tRNAs have two regions of fundamental functional importance: the anti-codon, which is responsible for specific mRNA codon recognition, and the 3' end, to which the tRNAs corresponding amino acid is attached (by aminoacyl-tRNA synthetases). tRNAs cope with the degeneracy of the genetic code in two manners: having more than one tRNA (with a specific anti-codon) for a particular amino acid; and 'wobble' base-pairing, i.e. permitting non-standard base-pairing at the 3rd anti-codon position. The record is from Rfam by way of RNAcentral. Lineage: Eukaryota; Metazoa; Chordata; Mammalia; Artiodactyla; Camelidae. RNAcentral also lists the same sequence under 2 other names.
GAGGGUAUAGCUCAGUAAUAGAGCAUGUGCAUAGCAUGCAUGAGGUCCUGAGUUCAAUCCCCAGUACCUCCA